Molecule: ribosomal RNA, 314 nt
Filed under: uncultured eukaryote
Lineage: Eukaryota
Description: partial 18S ribosomal RNA
Rfam family: Eukaryotic small subunit ribosomal RNA
Source: RNAcentral
CCCUUAGAUGUUCUGGGCCGCACGCGCGCUACACUGACGAAUGCAACGAGCUUAUAACCUUGGCCGAAAGGUCUGGGUAAUCUCCAAAUUUCGUCGUGAUGGGGAUAGAUUAUUGCAAUUAUUAAUCUUCAACGAGGAAUUCCUAGUAAACGCAAGUCAUCAACUUGCAUUGAUUACGUCCCUGCCCUUUGUACACACCGCCCGUCGCACCUACCGAUUGAAUGGUCCGGUGAAGCCUCCGGAUUGGCGCGCACCUCGGUGCCGCCGAGAAGUUGGCUAAACCUUACCAUUUAGAGGAAGGUGAANUCGUANCA